UCCUUCGGUAUCGAUUUGCCUUCGUUAUAAAUUGUUACUCCAGCAAAAAAAGCGAAGAUUCUAAAGACUGGAGAACAACUGGUGGCUGCCGACGCUUUCCAACUCCAUUUCUAGUGAUUAGGCCGCCAUUAUUUCGAAACCCAUACUUUCCGUCCCCUGUGGUCACUCAGGAAGCCUCUUAUUGCUUUCACUACAAAAGAGCACACCAAUUGAAAUUACUAAUUUCAUUUAUUUGAUCAACGGAUUAUGGGUGUGAAUAUUUGACAGCAGAUCGUGAGGUCCUUCCCAUUAAGCUUCUCCCAUAGUAGAAAAUGAGAAUUUGAAGGAUAAGGAGAAUUGAGUCAAGAAAAAGAAGAUUCACAUAAGGUUUGUGCAUAACUAAUCCUAUUUCUUUGUUUUUAAAUUGGGAAUUGAUUUGAAUAAGUUUAUAUGAAUGAUUUAUGAUUUUUAUUGCAUUGAGAAUUUUAAUUUGAGAAAUUGUUUGUUGCCAACCCUAUAAGGGGAAAUUUAUGAAUGAAAUGUGAAUGUUGAUUUGCAAUGAAAUUAUUUGGAUUUGUUUUGAAGCCACACUUGGCAUGACAAUUAUUAUUGUGUUUCUUCUCCAUUUAUGGGGUUGAGUUUGAUUAUGUUUCCUCCCUCUUUGGCUUGCCAGUUGAGGUUGAGUUCGAAUGAGUACUCAUAAAACUAGCUAGCCACCUCCCUCAUUAAUCUCGGUUAGUGAGGUUGUAGAUUGUUUUGUUGUGGUAUACAACAUGACAUUGAUUGAAAAUUUAUAUCAUGACCUAAGCUGUGUGAAUUGUUGGCAUCACUGUUAUUUGAUAAAUUGUUAUUGAAAAUGUUGGUAUUAGUUUUGAUAUUUAUGAAAUUGUGAAUAUUUUAAACUCUUGUUUACCAAUUGAUAAACUAUGUUUAUAGUAAGUUUUAAUUUUUAGUUGUGCACCACUGAGUGUUAUGCUCAGCGAAAGCUAUUCCAGUCGCAGGUAAAGAGAAGGAAGGAGCUGUGGAGUGAGCAGCGUGAAGCAGUGGUAGAUAUAGCUUCGAGUAUAUAUAUUAGGUAUACACUUUUAUAUAUGCAUUUUGAUGUAAAUUAGUCUGUAUGUACAUAACGAUAAAUGAGCAGUUGUAUAAACAAAUUUAUAAUAAUAUUUUGAAGUAUUUUGGCCUGUAUCUUUUUAUAAGAAUAUUCAUUUUGAUUUAUGUUUAUAAGAUGAGAACUAUUGCUUGGGGUUGAUGGAAAGAAAUGUGAUGACUUGAGUUUGAUUGUGUUGAAUUGUGGAAGAUAUAUUUUUAUGAAUUGAUUUUC
This 1303-nucleotide unclassified non-coding RNA is filed under the name Hevea brasiliensis (rubber tree). The record is from RNAcentral. Lineage: Eukaryota; Viridiplantae; Streptophyta; Magnoliopsida; Malpighiales; Euphorbiaceae.